Nerophis ophidion (straightnose pipefish) is the source of this 1724-nucleotide long non-coding RNA. RefSeq lists it as uncharacterized. The record is from RefSeq and is a predicted model, not a curated record. Lineage: Eukaryota; Metazoa; Chordata; Actinopteri; Syngnathiformes; Syngnathidae. The transcript is spliced from 2 exons.
UCACAUGUCUCCUAUGGAUUAUUCCAAAACAGGGCCAAAGCAGCCUGGCAUGUCUGCAGCUGCGCAGUCAACGCAGCCUCUUCUGGUCCACAGCCAGCAUCAGCUGUCUUGUUUUAGAGAGAGGGAGAGAAAAAUACCCCUGCAAUCCUCUCAAGCAGAUUAAAAGCUGAAUCAGUGGACUGAAGCGCUUUCCAUUUCCAAGACUGCUCCACUCUCUUUCCAUCAUGGCUAAAUGAGCAUCCAGCACAGUACCGCUCCUGUACAUGUCAACUCUAUUUAACUAUCCAAUUUUGUUAGUAAAAACAUUUGUUUUUUGGAGGGCUUAAAGGCCUACUGAAAUGAGAUUUUCUUAUUCAAACGGGGAUAGCAGGUCCAUUCUAUGUGUCAUACUUGAUCAUUUUGCGAUAUUGCCAUAUUUUUGCUGAAAGGAUUUAGUAGAGAAAAUCCACGAUAAAGUUCGCAACUUUUGGUGCUAAGAGAAAAGCCCUGCCUCUACCGGAAGUCACAGACGAUGAUGUCACAUGUUGAUGGCUCCUCACAUAUUCACAUUGAUUUUAAUGGGAGCCUCCAACAAGAAGUGCUAUUCGGACCGAGAAAACGACAAUUUCCCCAUUAAUUUGAGCGAAGAUGAAAGAUUCGUGUUUGAGGAUAUUGAUUGGGACGGACUAGAAAGAAAGAAGAAAAAAAACUCGAUUGGGACGGAUUCCGAUGUUUUUAGACACAUUUACUAAGAUAAUUCUGGGAAAUCCCUUAUCUUUCUAUUGUGUUGCUAGUGUUUUAGUGAGUUAAAUAGUACCUGAUAGUCGGAAGGGUGUCUUCAUGAGUGUGUUGACGCGCAGUGUCUCAGGGAAGUCGACGGCAGCUGCAUGGACGACACAACCUCAGCUUUUCUCCGAAGUGUGACAGGAUGGAUGGACGACAACCCACAGCAAGAUGGAAUGACCUCUGACCUCCCACUGGCUUAUCUGGGCUCCAUCCACCUUCAACUGGCCAACACAAAUCCAAAGCUCGAAGCCUUUUAGAGGGGAUUUUCUGCCAGACUCAAUCUGCUUGCUUGCUAAAAGUGCAGCGGAGGCCAAAGACCUCUUAGCCCUCCAGACCAUCAUCAUCAUCAUUUUCCGCCCCCACGCGUGUUUCGCCGCGACACUCUUGGCUGCAUCCAGUAAGCUUUGAAGAAAAAGAUCUGCACAGCUCCACUCUUGUUGAGUACUGAAGCAAAUGUGUUUUGACAGCCGGCUGAAUGACUUAAUGCCCUUCUUGUUUACCGCUUUCACUGCUCUGCUCUUCGUUUCCUACAGAAACGAUAAGCAAGAAUGGACCACAUUACGGUAAAAGCCCACACAGCAGAUACGAUAAAAGGCUAUAGUCACAGAGCUGUAGGGUUAUUAUUAGGGGCUGAAGGCUCCAAAAGGAGGUUUACAAAGCGUCAUAAACAUAUCAUAGUCUACAAACCUCUCUGAGCUUUUCCACAGUUUACUUUAAGGAGAAAGGAUUAAUGUUAAGCUUUGACCCAACAGAUGCCACAGAUCCUUCCUGGCUCAUCUCAGAACUGUGACAUAGAAACCAUGCUCUUGUAGCUUUGGAAAAUGUCCUUCUACUCUCACCAGUGGCCAUGGAUGUUUUCUUUUCUUGGGAAUCACUAUUUUACUUCUCUUUUCCAUUCCAGGCAUUAUUAGACAGAAACGUCUGUCCAUCUAUCAAUCAAUAAAUAUUGCAUUUUAUUA